Corythoichthys intestinalis (scribbled pipefish) is the source of this 672-nucleotide long non-coding RNA. RefSeq lists it as uncharacterized. Lineage: Eukaryota; Metazoa; Chordata; Actinopteri; Syngnathiformes; Syngnathidae. The record is from RefSeq and is a predicted model, not a curated record. The transcript is spliced from 3 exons.
UCUGCUGGUGUGCUGACUUCAAGGAACCAGACAAUUUCAAAAAGUUGUUAUUUGAUACUACAGGGCCUCUGCCCUCCUUUCUAAUUACAGGUUAGACGGGUGGAGCGGCCGCAGCUGUGAGCAGUUACAAUCAGCCAGCUUUAAAAGACCAGCAGACGCACCAUCACGUCGCCAGAUCAACUCGUCUAGCCCUGCUGACCUGUUUACGCACGCCCCUUGUCGGAUCUCCACGCCUGAUUCCCCCCGAGCUUUGCCUGCCUCUCGUCGGUCUGGAUCUCGCCAGCAACGCUCAAACAAUAAACAAAACAUUUGGUUUUAGGACUGUCAAAAUUAUCGCAUUAAAGGGCGGUAAUUAGUUUUUUUAAUUAAUCACGUUAAAACAUUUGACGUAUUUAACGCACAUGCCCCACUCAAACAGAUUAAAAUGACAGCACAGUGUAAUGUCCACUUGUUACUUGUGUUUUGUCGCCCUCUGCUGGCGCUUGGGUGCAAAUGAUUUUAUGGGUUUCAGCACAGUGAGCAUUGUGUAAUUAUUGACAUGAACAAUGGCGAGCUACUAGUUUAUUUUUUGAUUGAAAAUUUUAUUAAAACGAAAACAUUAAGAGGGGUUUUAAUAUAAAAUUUCUAGAACUUGUACUAACAUUUAUCUUUUAAGAACUACAAGUCUUUCUA